GUCACUCUCUUAAUCAGUUACAAAAGUGCUGGGUUUAUACAUUAAUAAUUCUUCAGUUGAUGGAAGGACUUUGCUGUCAGAACACAUUCUUUCAGCUCUCACUGAACUGCUGGACCGGUCCUCAGUUGGCUGGAUGUCUCUAUUUUGGUAGAAAGUUAUUUUUUUCAAUAACUAUCCUAUACUAAUAAAUGUGAAUAAUAUGCUUUAUUAUUCCUGUGGCAAGGCUGCAGUGGCCCACAUGGGUGGUUGGCGAAAUGAAUGUCAUACUGCAGACCUGGUCAGGAAGGCUGCUGCUCCUGAGACAAGGAAGGUGCUGCCUGGUGGGGAAGUAACCGAAGUCAGAUGCUUGCUCCAGUGUUACCCUGGACCACAGCCAACCACAAGCUCUAUGGAGGGGAAGAUUUCCAAUGAGGCCUGCUCUCAAGGCUGGGAGGUGAUGCUGACUUGGCAUUCAGCUUUCGGUUUGAGUUGUCAACCAAAUGUGGUUUGGUUCUCCUCCAGAGAGACUCCACCUGGGGAGUUCUCACUGCAUGUCUGCUGAAUUCCAAGAAGAAGGCUUCCUAAAAUGAAUGGCGAAAGCUUCUGAACUCUUCAAGUCCAUUUUCAGAAGUUACACAGUGCCAUUUCUGCUACUCUGUGUUGAUGAAAAUAAUCCACAGGAAAAAACUCAGUUUCUAGGAGAGGGAAAAUAGCCUCGAUUCUCAAUGAGACAAAUGGGUAAGACUUUGCAGCUAUCUUAUAUGCCCUACUUUCUCAUAUGUCUUCUUGACAAAAACAAAAUAUGUCAGUGGUAACUCAAGAGACCAUUUCCUUUCUUUUAAUCACAAAGUUCAACAAGUUAUACAUAGUUAACAUUACCACAUUUUGACAAUGCUAACUAUACAUUUUUUAUAUUUUAUACAUCAAGAAACAUGAUCAACAGUAUUCUACAUUUAAAACUCCUAGCAUAUUAUUUUUCUUUAUAUGAGGAUGCAGCUUCAAUAGUGGUUUAGAUUAAAUAUUAAAACGAGGGAAUUUUAUGGCAUACUUAGCAUUACUUAUGCUCUUUUCAAACUAUGAAAGUUUAGGAUUUUUACUUUUUCUAUGCUCAAUGUUGUUAUGCUUGAAUGUGAGUGGCAUGACUCUGCUACAAUAAAACCUUUGACAGAUGAAAAAAGAAUCUAUGA
This 1166-nucleotide long non-coding RNA is filed under the name Sus scrofa (pig). RNAcentral's name for it is "lncRNA (ENSSSCG00025054842.1)". Lineage: Eukaryota; Metazoa; Chordata; Mammalia; Artiodactyla; Suidae. The record is from RNAcentral.